CAUCGCCCAUCACACUAUGGGAGCUGGCCAUGCCCGAAGUCGUUACCUUAACUACAAGGAGGGGGAUGUCGAAGGCAAGGCUAGUGACUAGAAUAAAGUUGUAACAAGAUAGCCAACUGAAAGGUGCAG
This 129-nucleotide non-coding RNA is filed under the name Gossypium arboreum. Its description in RNAcentral is "Bacterial small subunit ribosomal RNA". It matches the Rfam family "Bacterial small subunit ribosomal RNA", at positions 1388 to 1517 of the family's 1533-position model. The record is from Rfam by way of RNAcentral. Lineage: Eukaryota; Viridiplantae; Streptophyta; Magnoliopsida; Malvales; Malvaceae.